GACGAACGCUGGCGGCGUGCUUAACACAUGCAAGUCGAACGGUAAGGCCCCAGCUUGCUGGGGUACACGAGUGGCGAACGGGUGAGUAACACGUGGGUGACCUGCCCUGCACUUCGGGAUAAGCCUGGGAAACUGGGUCUAAUACCGGAUAGGACCGCACCGUGAGGGUUUGGUGGAAAGUGUUUUCGGUGUGGGAUGGGAUCGCGGCCUAUCAGCUUGUUGGUGGGGUAAUGGACUACCAAGGCGGCGAGGGGUAGCCGGCCUGAGAGGGGGGACGGCCACAUUGGGACUGAGAUACGGCCCAGACUCCUACGGGAGGCAGCGGUGGGGAAUAGUGCACAAUGGGCGGAAGGCUGAUGCAGCGACGCCGCGUGGGGGAUGACGGCCUUCGGGUUGUAAACUACUUUCCCCAUAGACGAAGGGUUACUGACGGUAGCUGGAGAAGAAGCACCGGCUAACUACGUG
Molecule: ribosomal RNA, 465 nt
Filed under: uncultured bacterium
Lineage: Bacteria
Description: partial 16S ribosomal RNA
Rfam family: Bacterial small subunit ribosomal RNA
Source: RNAcentral